RNAcentral lists this ribosomal RNA (467 nucleotides) under uncultured bacterium. RNAcentral's name for it is "partial 16S ribosomal RNA". It matches the Rfam family "Bacterial small subunit ribosomal RNA", at positions 28 to 506 of the family's 1533-position model. The record is from RNAcentral.
GACGAACGCUGGCGGCGUGCUUAACACAUGCAAGUCGAACGGAAAGGCCCUGCUUUUGUGGGGUGCUCGAGUGGCGAACGGGUGAGUAACACGUGAGUAACCUGCCCUUGACUUUGGGAUAACUUCAGGAAACUGGGGCUAAUACCGGAUAGGAGCUCCUGCUGCAUGGUGGGGGUUGGAAAGUUUCGGCGGUUGGGGAUGGACUCGCGGCUUAUCAGCUUGUUGGUGGGGUAGUGGCUUACCAAGGCUUUGACGGGUAGCCGGCCUGAGAGGGUGACCGGCCACAUGGGGACUGAGAUACGGCCCAGACUCCUACGGGAGGCAGCAGUGGGGAAUAUUGCACAAUGGGCGGAAGCCUGAUGCAGCAACGCCGCGUGCGGGAGGACGGCCUUCGGGUUGUAAACCGCUUUCGCCUGUGACGAAGCGUGAGUGACGGUAAUGGGUAAAGAAGCACCGGCGAACUACGG